RNAcentral lists this transfer RNA (66 nucleotides) under Diadromus collaris. Its description in RNAcentral is "tRNA-Gly". The record is from RNAcentral. Lineage: Eukaryota; Metazoa; Arthropoda; Insecta; Hymenoptera; Ichneumonidae.
AUUUAAAUAGUAUAUUUUUAGUACAUUUAAUUUCCAAUUAAAAAGAUUUUAAAAAAAAUUUAAAUA